UGGGGAAUAUUGCACAAUGGAGGGAACUCUGAUGCAGCGACGCCGCGUGAACGAAGAAGGCUUUCGAGUCGUAAAGUUCUUUUAUCUGGGAAGAUAAUGACGGUACCAUAAGAAAAAGCCCCGGCUAACUACGUGCCAGCAGCCGCGGUAAUACGUAGGGGGCUAGCGUUGUCCGGAAUCACUGGGCGUAAAGGGUUCGCAGGCGGAAAUGCAAGUCAGGUGUAAAAGGCAGUAGCUUAACUACUGUAAGCAUUUGAAACUGCAUAUCUUGAGAAGAGUAGAGGUAAGUGGAAUUUUUAGUGUAGCGGUGAAAUGCGUAGAUAUUAAAAAGAAUACCGGUGGCGAAGGCGACUUACUGGGCUCAUUCUGACGCUGAGGAACGAAAGCGUGGGUAGCAAACAGG
RNAcentral lists this ribosomal RNA (403 nucleotides) under Fusobacteriota bacterium. RNAcentral's name for it is "Fusobacteria bacterium partial 16S ribosomal RNA". It matches the Rfam family "Bacterial small subunit ribosomal RNA", at positions 355 to 776 of the family's 1533-position model. Lineage: Bacteria; Fusobacteriati; Fusobacteriota. The record is from RNAcentral.